CUGGCUCAGAUUGAACGCUGGCGGCGUGCUUAACACAUGCAAGUCGUGCGAGAAAGGGGGCUCGGUCCCUGAGUAGAGCGGCGCACGGGUGAGUAACGCGUGGAUAAUCUCCCCCAGAAGUUCGGGAUAACGGCGGGAAACUGCCGCUAAUACCGGAUACGCUCCAAUUUCGGUUGGGGGAAAGGCGGCCUCUGUUUACAAGCUGUCGCUUCUGGAUGAGUCCGCGUCCCAUUAGCUUGUUGGUGGGGUAAUGGCCUACCAAAGGCUACGAUGGGUAGCUGGUCUGAGAGGAUGAUCAGCCACACUGGAACUGAAACACGGUCCAGACUCCUACGGGAGGCAGCAGUGGGGAAUAUUGCGCAAUGGGGGAAACCCUGACGCAGCGACGCCGUGUGGAGGGAUGAAGGCUUUCGGGUCGUAAACCUCUGUCGGGAGGGAAGAACCUUCUAGGUCCUAAUAAGACUUGGAACUGACGGUACCUCCAAAGGAAGCACCGGCUAACUCCGUGCCAGCAGCAGC
Molecule: ribosomal RNA, 519 nt
Filed under: uncultured bacterium
Lineage: Bacteria
Description: bacterial SSU rRNA
Rfam family: Bacterial small subunit ribosomal RNA
Source: RNAcentral